Peromyscus californicus insignis is the source of this 1546-nucleotide long non-coding RNA. RefSeq lists it as uncharacterized. The transcript has 4 exons. The record is from RefSeq and is a predicted model, not a curated record. NCBI's taxonomy places the organism in Eukaryota, Metazoa, Chordata, Mammalia, Rodentia, Cricetidae.
GCUGAGAAGACAGGAACCCUAGCAGCUGAUGCUAAGUUCAGACUAAACUCACUGCAAGUCCCCGGGGAAAGUCACAAGAAAAUGCCUGUACUGCUCAUCACCUCAUAAAGAAGUCGGGAAAGGCCAGUUCAUGCAUGAAGGAGACGGACAAGGAUGACCACUCGUGUUGAUUGCUCGACUUCACAGUUCCCUGCUAGCAUCCUUUCUCUUGCCUUGCUAUCACGGAUGCCAUUAUUUCUGAAUUCCAAACAGGGCACCUGUGUCAAGCUGGAUAGGAACAGAGAGACACUCAAGAAACUCAUGAGAGAAGGUGGCUCAGUUCUACCCAGAAGUGUCAGCAGGUUUGAACUCGUCUUUCUCUCGACUCUAUUCUGACAGUCACAGGAAGCCUGGUCCCCUUUGACACUCACCGCACGCUGACAGAUCCUCCCCCGGAAAGACUCGACAGCAGCAAACACAUGCAUUGUUCUUCCUGUCAACCCGCUAUUGAAAGGUGAUCUACAGCUGAGCGGCAGUCGCCCUCAUUUGGGAGUGUUCCCGGGCAUGAGGCUGAAAGCUUAUUACCCCAGAAAGUGAAAGCCGAGAACAUAAGUUCCUCAGAUCAGACUACAGCAUCAGGGGGUUGUCAGCAGCUCCAAGGGGAGGGAGGCACUGUCUCCAGCUGGGCAUUGAGGCUCCUCCCUCCUCCCUGUGUUCCUUACCCACCCACCUCACCAUGGACAGCUCAUCCCCAGAGAGCAGAGUCUAGAAAGCGCAGGGGUCUCGGUUGCAGGGCUUUCAGAAGUUCUCCAGACACGUGCCCCUAUGGAAGAAAGGGUCUCCCUGAAAUCAAGAUGUGACCCACCUCAGCAUCAUACAUUUGGAAACGUGUAGAACUUGACUCAACGUUAUUUGUUGGUCUACCUCCGCUAAACCAUGGGCUCCUUAAAAACCUAUUAAGGGCAGGAGCAUUGGCUUUGGUUGGGUCCAAGAGCUGGCUUCAUCAUCUAUUUCUCAAGGUCAGCUCUCAUAUCUUUCCACAACUCAAUUCCCUACACAAUUAAAGAAAAAACAAUAUAAUUCUGUUCGUCUAAAAUUCGUGUGUAAAUGCUGAUUCCCAGGCACCUUGUAUUUGACUGCAUUUAGAGUUAUGCUUAUUGAAGAGGUUAUUGUGAGCAAGUGAAGCACCAUUUGACAACUAGAGGACAAGGACCCAUAUACAUCCAGAGGAAAGACCACAAGGCCACGAAAGGAGGAGGAGCUGAUGGUAUCCAAGUCAAGGAAAGGGGCCUCAGUAGAAGCCUAAUGAUGCCUUGGGCUUGGACUCGCAGCCUCUAGAACUGUAAGAAAAUGAAUCUGUGCUGUUUCCCCUUUCUUAGGGCUCAGUAGCCUCAGCAACUGAUACCCAGUGCUGGGAGCUAGAGCUCCUUCAGCAGGAGUGAGCUGUAUCCUGUGAAAAACACUCAGAAGGGGAGCUGGGGGCAGUUCUCAGUGGGUAGAGCACUUGCUGCUCUUGAGGAGGACCCCAGUUCCAUUUCCAGCACCCACAUGGUGGCUCACAACCACC